GGUGAUGUAGCUUAGUUGGUAGAGUGCUUGCCUGACAUAUAGGAAGCCCUGGGUUCAAAUCCCCAGCCCA
This 70-nucleotide transfer RNA is filed under the name Neotoma lepida (desert woodrat). It matches the Rfam family "tRNA". Rfam says of the family: Transfer RNA (tRNA) molecules are approximately 80 nucleotides in length. Their secondary structure includes four short double-helical elements and three loops (D, anti-codon, and T loops). Further hydrogen bonds mediate the characteristic L-shaped molecular structure. tRNAs have two regions of fundamental functional importance: the anti-codon, which is responsible for specific mRNA codon recognition, and the 3' end, to which the tRNAs corresponding amino acid is attached (by aminoacyl-tRNA synthetases). tRNAs cope with the degeneracy of the genetic code in two manners: having more than one tRNA (with a specific anti-codon) for a particular amino acid; and 'wobble' base-pairing, i.e. permitting non-standard base-pairing at the 3rd anti-codon position. The record is from Rfam by way of RNAcentral. Lineage: Eukaryota; Metazoa; Chordata; Mammalia; Rodentia; Cricetidae.